This is a long non-coding RNA of Lagenorhynchus albirostris (white-beaked dolphin), 1373 nucleotides long. RefSeq lists it as uncharacterized. Lineage: Eukaryota; Metazoa; Chordata; Mammalia; Artiodactyla; Delphinidae. The transcript is spliced from 4 exons. The record is from RefSeq and is a predicted model, not a curated record.
CCCGGCUAAGGAGUCAGCCUCGGCGUCAGACUCGCCGGCCCGAGGGCACCUCACUCCACGCUUGGCGUUUCUCGUUUGCUGCCCGUCGUCCCUUUCACCCUCAGUACGACGGACGCAGGGGGUACCCUCCAGCCCAGGGCCCCAGUCCACACCACGGCCCACCCUCUCCGCCGUUCCGCUUCUCACGCUCCUCCUCGGACCCCUCUCUGCUGCCAGUGCUCUGUCACCCUCCUCUGCCCCCGAGACGCUGAACUUCGCAGGCUGCCUGUUUCUUUAGAUGGCACCAUGCUUCUUGGUCCCCAAACCGUAGUAGAUUAUGUGUCUAAGUGCAGAAGCUGAGCCCCAGAGCCCAGGACCAAAGGAGACCCCUGCCCAGGCUGGGAGCCAAGGCAGAGGAGAAGGAGAAGGCAGGACAGACCACCAGCUCCCCAUCUACCCCUUGACCCCUCUGCUGUCACAGCUGACCCUGUCCCACGUCCCUCCCAGCAGCCCCUGCCCCCACCCCAAAGCCCUUUUCUGGCCUGGACUGUGGAGCCUCCUUUUGUCAUGCUCCCACCCCUCCCAGCACCGCCUGGUCCAUUUGAGUGAGAGGCCCUUUCCCUGCCCCCAGUGUGGGAAGUGCUGCAGCCACGGGGCCACCUGACCCUGCCCCUGCACUCCCACACAGGUGACAGGCCCUAUGGCUCUGGCCUCCAUGGCUGUGGCUUCACUCAGAGCCCCCUUCUGCUUUGACAACCGUCCACACCCAGUGGGAAGGACAGGGAUGAACAGAGCGGGCCGCCAACCCCGCAGCACUCCAGGAGGGCAGCCCUGGGGACAGACUCCUUCCACAGUCGGAGUGACUUGCCUCUUCUGUGGGAGGCAUAAUGGGGCACGGCUCCCUGACCCACCCCAUCCCCGCCAGAGCCACCACAUUAGGUGAUCAGAGUGUCUCACCGGAACCUACUCAGGGCUGGAAUGGCCAGGUCCACCUCACUUCUAGUCCACAAUCUAAUCCCCCAGGGAAAGAGCUUUUCCUGUUUCUUAGAAAAGAAUCUGUACUUCCAAUCUCCUGUCCUCCAUCUGAGAAGUUUAACCAGGCUGCCUGAGACCUACUGCCAUCACGGACGGAUCAGAUUUCCCGGGAUUUUCUUGAAGGGAUUUUUUAAAGAGAUAACUGAAUCCCCAGAGAUCUCCAUGACAACCCCCACCAUCAAAUUCUAGUUGCCCACAAAUCCCACCCAACCCCAUCACUUCCCCCAGAGGCCGCUGGCUGCUUAUUGCCUCCGGUGCUAAAGCUACACCCAGCACCCCAUCGGAUGAGGCCAUCUCCCUGUGCCCACUCCUGGACCCACGGGCCCUGUUUCAGGGCUUUCUGUGACCUUCACUGCAUU